GAGUGGCGGACGGGUGAGUAACACGUGGGUAACCUGCCCUUAAGUGGGGGAUAACAUUUGGAAACAGAUGCUAAUACCGCAUAGAUCCAAGAACCGCAUGGUUCUUGGCUGAAAGAUGGCGUAAGCUAUCGCUUUUGGAUGGACCCGCGGCGUAUUAGCUAGUUGGUGAGGUAAUGGCUCACCAAGGCGAUGAUACGUAGCCGAACUGAGAGGUUGAUCGGCCACAUUGGGACUGAGACACGGCCCAAACUCCUACGGGAGGCAGCAGUAGGGAAUCUUCCACAAUGGACGCAAGUCUGAUGGAGCAACGCCGCGUGAGUGAAGAAGGCUUUCGGGUCGUAAAACUCUGUUGUUGGAGAAGAAUGGUCGGCAGAGUAACUGUUGUCGGCGUGACGGUAUCCAACCAGAAAGCCACGGCUAACUACGUGCCAGCAGCCGCGGUAAUACGUAGGUGGCAAGCGUUAUCCGGAUUUAUUGGGCGUAAAGCGAGCGCAGGCGGUUUUUUAAGUCUGAUGUGAAAGCCCUCGGCUUAACCGAGGAAGCGCAUCGGAAACUGGGAAACUUGAGUGCAGAAGAGGACAGUGGAACUCCAUGUGUAGCGGUGAAAUGCGUAGAUAUAUGGAAGAACACCAGUGGCGAAGGCGGCUGUCUGGUCUGUAACUGACGCUGAGGCUCGAAAGCAUGGGUAGCGAACAGGAUUAGAUACC
Molecule: ribosomal RNA, 707 nt
Filed under: Lactobacillus casei group sp.
Lineage: Bacteria; Bacillati; Bacillota; Bacilli; Lactobacillales; Lactobacillaceae
Description: bacterial SSU rRNA
Rfam family: Bacterial small subunit ribosomal RNA
Source: RNAcentral